GGUCUCUUAGUGUAGCGGUUAACACGCCUGCCUGUCACGCAGGAGAUCGCGGGUUCGAUUCCCGUCGAGACCGCCA
RNAcentral lists this transfer RNA (76 nucleotides) under Staphylococcus aureus. RNAcentral's name for it is "tRNA-Asp". It matches the Rfam family "tRNA". Rfam says of the family: Transfer RNA (tRNA) molecules are approximately 80 nucleotides in length. Their secondary structure includes four short double-helical elements and three loops (D, anti-codon, and T loops). Lineage: Bacteria; Bacillati; Bacillota; Bacilli; Caryophanales; Staphylococcaceae. The record is from RNAcentral. RNAcentral also lists the same sequence under 2 other names.